Molecule: long non-coding RNA, 1071 nt
Filed under: Piliocolobus tephrosceles (Ugandan red Colobus)
Lineage: Eukaryota; Metazoa; Chordata; Mammalia; Primates; Cercopithecidae
Description: lncRNA (ENSPTEG00000011287.1)
Source: RNAcentral
AAUAAAGAUGAUAUUAUUUUUUGUAAUGGUGUGUACAAAAAAAAAAUAAACAAAAUAAAUUUAGUUGUGUUAAAAAGCAAUUAUUUUAUAAAAGAAAGUAAUAAAAACGAAUUUUUAGUGAUUUAUGAUUUAAUAAAAAAAAAAAAAAAAAAUGAAAAAAAUCAUUGCUUAAGUUUUAUAAUCGAAUUAAUUAUUUAUAAUAACAUUUUAAAAUAUAGUAUGAACGAAAAUAUUCAAUAUAUUUUAUUAGGAAAUAAUGCGAAUAAUAUUUGUAAUAAAGCAUUUUUAUAUACGAUAAUGGGUAAUGGUAUAAAUGUGCCUUUAUGUACAGCUUAUAUAGAUGACAGAUAUACAUGCGUAAAAAUGAUUAAGCCAUUAAAAGAAUUGUUUGUUAAGGAAAUAUAUUUAUAUUGCUUUUAUAAAAAUAUUUCAUAUUUGAAAAAUACUAUGAACAACUAUAUAAGUAGUAGUAGGUUAUAUACAACUUUAUACGAUGUGUUAUCAGAAUUAAACUCUAAUAACAAUACAACGUCUAUUAUUAAUAGUGCUAAUAAUAAUUUGAUUGGUUAUGAUGUUUUGGUUAAUAUAAAUAAAAACAAAAAUGAGAAUGCCGUCAAAGUGUCACAUAAUGAUGUACACAAAGUGGACAAAAAAGGAUAUACACAUAAGGUGGGAAAUUUAAGAAAUGGCAAUAGUAACAGUAGUAGUUAUGUUACAAAUGGUACACGCGUUGGUAGUAUUAGUAACGAUACUAUUAACGGCACUAGUAACGAUACUAUUAACGGCACUAGUAACGGUACUAUUAACAACCAUAAGACUCAAUCAAAAGAUUGUUAUGGCAACCAUUUAUUAUGCCAUCUUUGUCAUGGUUAUAAAGAAGCAUUAGUAGAACAGGAAAUGUUAAGAAGAAUGAACAUGACUCAAAUCAGAAAUCUGAAAAAUAUAAAAAAUACGGUAACUAUAUGUGCUACUUGUUUAUCUACAUUUUCCUAUAGCGAUGAUCUUGUAAAGUUUGUUAACUUAUUUUUUUAAAUUAAUAAAGAUGACUUUGUGAAAUAACUAUCUAAAAUU